UACUAGAAUAUUAGAAGUUAUGUUCUUUAAAUUUAAAAAAUUUGGCGGUGUUUUAGUCUAGUUAGAGGAACCUGUUUUAUAAACGAUAUAACACGCAUUAUUUUACUUAUUUUAGUAUAACAGCUUGUAUACCGUCAUUAUAAGAUAAUUUAGGAGAGAAUAUUAUUGAAAUCAUAUUGUUGAGUAUAUUAGAUCAAGGUGCAGCUUAUAAAUAAGUGAAUAUGGGUUACAAUAAAACUUAUUUAAUAAUGAAUUAAGUAUUUAAAUGUACUUAUGAAGGAGGAUUUAAUUGUAAGGAAAGGUGUAGUGAGAUUUUCUGAUAAAAGCUCUAAAUUAUGUACAUAUCGCCCGUCGCUCG
RNAcentral lists this ribosomal RNA (358 nucleotides) under Procambarus digueti. RNAcentral describes it as "partial small subunit ribosomal RNA". Lineage: Eukaryota; Metazoa; Arthropoda; Malacostraca; Decapoda; Cambaridae. The record is from RNAcentral.